UGGGCGGGAAAGGACGGACGGGUUAAGUAGCCAAUCACCAAUUGCGCUCCAGCCAGAGGGGCGAUGUUCUUGGGGAGCCUGGGGAUCUGGAAGAAGUUCAGUGUGAGGACGAGUGUUAGGAAAUAAGGCUGAAGACAGAGGCAACCCUGGAGGAUCUUCUAACCCAUGUCAAGCAGUUGAGAAUUUAUGGAGUGAAAUAGCAAGCCAUUGAAGAGUUUCAAGCUUUCAUCCAGCUUUUAAGGGAAACUAAUAUCUCAUGAAAUUGUGAGGGCCUGGAAUCUUCAAAGAGCCAAGGAUUCUGCCAGACUGAGCAAUAGACUUGAUGAGCAUUCUCCACUUAAGAUCUGAACUAUGAGAAGUCGAAUCAAAGCAGUUCUUUUGUAAUUCCAAACAGCCAUUUAGACAUAUGAAGAAAUGAAAGUAAAGCAGUUCUAAAGACAAGGAAGAGGGUCAAUGAAAGAUCUACUUAAUCAGAAUCCUGACUGAAUUGACUCUGGGGAUCUGCCUUUUUACCAAGUUGCACAGAGGACCCUUGUGUAAAGUUUGAAAACAGUGUGAUAAGGCCAUCAUGAAGAUUAAAUGAGCCAUAUUCUAUGAAGCACCUGAAAUGUGCUCCCAAUGCAAUCACAAAGAUCUUUAAAAGUGGAAGAAGGUGGGAGAGGUCAGAGUGAUACGAAGAGAACUCAGUCUACCACUGCUGGCUUUGAAGAUGGAAGAAUGGGGCUAUGAGCCCUGGAUUGCGGGCAGCCUGCAGAAGCUGGGGCAGAGAUUCCACACAGGCACCUCUAGAAAAUAAUGCAGCCAGCCAAUCCUUAGACUUUAUCCCAGUGAGAGUCAAGUUGGACUUCUGACCUACAAAAGAGUAAAUAUCUAAAUUAUCUGUGGCAACAACUUGGUGGGGUCAACUCGAAUGUUUUUGUCG
Molecule: long non-coding RNA, 922 nt
Filed under: Homo sapiens (human)
Lineage: Eukaryota; Metazoa; Chordata; Mammalia; Primates; Hominidae
Description: HSALNT0349274
Source: RNAcentral